CGGGGCGGGUUUCCAGGCGGCGCGGGUGCGGACGGGGAGCGUGGCCAGGGGUACACUGGUGAGGAGAUGGCCCAGGACAUCUGGGUCAAGCCUGAGGACCGAGGCUGCAGCCCCCUCUGCUCGGAAAAGGGAAUGAGAAGGGAUCUGCUGCCCUCCUGACACACAACCUGAAGGUGCUGGCCAAAUGCCCCACCCUGAGUUUUGAAAAAGGAAAUUAAAAAAAAAAA
Long non-coding RNA from Lontra canadensis (Northern American river otter), 227 nucleotides. RefSeq lists it as uncharacterized. Lineage: Eukaryota; Metazoa; Chordata; Mammalia; Carnivora; Mustelidae. The record is from RefSeq and is a predicted model, not a curated record. The transcript is spliced from 3 exons.